RNAcentral lists this ribosomal RNA (693 nucleotides) under Stenotrophomonas sp. DBTKKK4. Its description in RNAcentral is "bacterial SSU rRNA". It matches the Rfam family "Bacterial small subunit ribosomal RNA", at positions 68 to 765 of the family's 1533-position model. Lineage: Bacteria; Pseudomonadati; Pseudomonadota; Gammaproteobacteria; Lysobacterales; Lysobacteraceae. The record is from RNAcentral.
AGCACAGAGGAGCUUGCUCCUUGGGUGGCGAGUGGCGGACGGGUGAGGAAUACAUCGGAAUCUACUCUGUCGUGGGGGAUAACGUAGGGAAACUUACGCUAAUACCGCAUACGACCUACGGGUGAAAGCAGGGGACCUUCGGGCCUUGCGCGAUUGAAUGAGCCGAUGUCGGAUUACUAGUUGGCGGGGUAAAGGCCCACCAAGGCGACGAUCCGUAGCUGGUCUGAGAGGAUGAUCAGCCACACUGGAACUGAGACACGGUCCAGACUCCUACGGGAGGCAGCAGUGGGGAAUAUUGGACAAUGGGCGCAAGCCUGAUCCAGCCAUACCGCGUGGGUGAAGAAGGCCUUCGGGUUGUAAAGCCCUUUUGUUGGGAAAGAAAUCCAGCUGGCUAAUACCCGGUUGGGAUGACGGUACCCAAAGAAUAAGCACCGGCUAACUUCGUGCCACAGCCGCGGUAAUACGAAGGGUGCAAGCGUUACUCGGAAUUACUGGGCGUAAAGCGUGCGUAGUGGUCGUUUAAGUCCAUUGUGAAAGCCCUGGGCUCACCCUGGGAACUGCAAUGGAUACUGGGCGACUAGAAUGUGGUAGAGGGUAUCGGAAUUCCUGGUGUACAAUGAAAUGCUAAGAUCAGAGGAACAUCAUGGGAAGGCGCUACCUGGACCACAUUGACCCUGAGGCCCGAAGCGUGGG